CUCCCGUGGAGAAAUAUCAAAAUGUCUGUGUUUGUAGCCAGCACUUUCAGCCGGAGGAUUUCGAUAUGGACCUGAAGUCUCAGCUGAUGAGGUUGCCGGGAUAUCGAAUGUUUUAAAGUGAUGCUAUUCCAUUGAAUUUCCCCUUCACUUCAAAGAGGAAAGGUACCCGAUCAGCCAACAUCAGCACAGCAGAAAAUAAGUCGAGCUGAGAUAGCGUAGCUAACUAGCCAACUGCGUUUGUUUAUCUAAACCAAAAUCUAAUUAGCUAGCUUUCAUAAUACGCUGGCUAGACCAUCCGAAGUAAUGUAAUUAUCUAACUGCUAUCUGGCAAAGUGAUUUGUAAUUUUGCAAGCUAACAUUAGCUACAUUAUGUUAGCUACUGCCCACCGGAUCGUAGAUAGCUAGCUAACUAAUUGACUAACUAACAGUACCGUAGAGGCUAACGUGACUAUGUGUUCGAUCCCAUCAAUAUCUGCAGCGGCAUCAAGCUCAGCACCAGGAACUAGUGAGACUUGCAGUACAAACACAUCUUCUGUAAGAGGUCGACGCAGUGGGUGAUGAAGAAAGUGUAUGAGCCCAGAACCCACCACUUCAGGGAGAGUCUUGUCCACCUGUCUGUGGAGUGCAAAACAACUUAGAAUGUUGUCUACAAGGAGCCAGAGACACAGCUCCCCAAACCCAACAUCCCUGCCAACAUCGCCACAGCGUCAAAGUCUGCAACACCAGCUUCCAUUACCCAACAAGACGAGGUUCACCAGUUGAAGAACACUCUGGAACCUGCCUGGAGCAUUCAGCCAACACAACAUCCAUAUUCAGUUAGACUGAUGUUGUAGUAUAAUAUAGAAUGCCUAGUAUGCUCAACUGCAUUGUGGUAUAGAUAUUGCUAGCUCUUGUACAUUAACUCAG
This is a long non-coding RNA of Oncorhynchus kisutch (coho salmon), 906 nucleotides long. RefSeq lists it as uncharacterized. The transcript has 2 exons. The record is from RefSeq and is a predicted model, not a curated record. NCBI's taxonomy places the organism in Eukaryota, Metazoa, Chordata, Actinopteri, Salmoniformes, Salmonidae.